UACGUAGGUGGCAAGCGUUGUCCGGAUUUACUGGGCGUAAAGAGCGCGCAGGCGGUCGGAUAAGUCGAGUGUGAAAGCCCCUGGCUCAACCAGGGAGGGUCAUUCGAUACUGUUCGACUCGAAGGCAGGAGAGGGAAGUGGAAUUCCGGGUGUAGUGGUGAAAUGCGCAGAUAUCAGGAGGAACACCGGUGGCGAAGGCGGUGCUCUGGGCCGGUACUGACGCUGAGGAGCGAAAGCGUGGGUAGCAAACAGG
RNAcentral lists this ribosomal RNA (253 nucleotides) under uncultured bacterium. RNAcentral describes it as "partial 16S ribosomal RNA". It matches the Rfam family "Bacterial small subunit ribosomal RNA", at positions 524 to 776 of the family's 1533-position model. The record is from RNAcentral.